UAGGGAAUCUUCCACAAUGGACGCAAGUCUGAUGGAGCAACGCCGCGUGAGUGAAGAAGGUUUUCGGAUCGUAAAGCUCUGUUGUUGGUGAAGAAGGAUAGAGGCAGUAACUGGUCUUUAUUUGACGGUAAUCAACCAGAAAGUCACGGCUAACUACGUGCCAGCAGCCGCGGUAAUACGUAGGUGGCAGGCGUUGUCCGGAUUUAUUGGGCGUAAAGCGAGCGCAGGCGGAAUGAUAAGUCUGAUGUGAAAGCCCACGGCUCAACCGUGGAACUGCAUCGGAAACUGUCAUUCUUGAGUGCAGAAGAGGAGAGUGGAAUUCCAUGUGUAGCGGUGGAAUGCGUAGAUAUAUGGAAGAACACCAGUGGCGAAGGCGGCUCUCUGGUCUGCAACUGACGCUGAGGCUCGAAAGCAUGGGUAGCGAACAGG
This 429-nucleotide ribosomal RNA is filed under the name Acidobacteriota bacterium. RNAcentral's name for it is "Acidobacteria bacterium partial 16S ribosomal RNA". It matches the Rfam family "Bacterial small subunit ribosomal RNA", at positions 355 to 776 of the family's 1533-position model. The record is from RNAcentral. Lineage: Bacteria; Pseudomonadati; Acidobacteriota.